GAUGAACGCUGGCGGCGUGCCUAAUACAUGCGAGUCGAGCGAACAGAUGAGGAGCUUGCUCCUCUGACGUUAGCGGCGGACGGGUGAGUAACACGUGGAUAACCUACCUAUAAGACUGGGAUAACUUCGGGAAACCGGAGCUAAUACCGGAUAAUAUAUUGAACCGCAUGGUUCAAUAGUGAAAGACGGUUUUGCUGUCACUUAUAGAUGGAUCCGCGCCGCAUUAGCUAGUUGGUAAGGUAACGGCUUACCAAGGCAACGAUGCGUAGCCGACCUGAGAGGGUGAUCGGCCACACUGGAACUGAGACACGGUCCAGACUCCUACGGGAGGCAGCAGUAGGGAAUCUUCCGCAAUGGGCGAAAGCCUGACGGAGCAACGCCGCGUGAGUGAUGAAGGUCUUCGGAUCGUAAAACUCUGUUAUUAGGGAAGAACAAAUGUGUAAGUAACUAUGCACGUCUUGACGGUACCUAAUCAGAAAGCCACGGCUAACUACGUGC
This 498-nucleotide ribosomal RNA is filed under the name uncultured bacterium. RNAcentral's name for it is "partial 16S ribosomal RNA". It matches the Rfam family "Bacterial small subunit ribosomal RNA", at positions 28 to 508 of the family's 1533-position model. The record is from RNAcentral.